GACGAACGCUGGCGGCGUGGAUUAGGCAUGCAAGUCGAACGGUAUCAUCCUUUCGGGGGUGAGAGAGUGGCGAACUGGUGAGUAACACGUAGGUUAUCUACCCUCAAGACGGGGACAACCCAGGGAAACUUGGGCUAAUACCGGAUGUGAGCAACUUUUAGUUGUUUGAAAGGUGGCGUAAGCUGUCGCUUGGGGAUGAGCCUGCGUCCUAUUAGUUAGUUGGUGAGGUAACGGCUCACCUAGGCAAUGAUAGGUAGGCGGCCUUAACGGGUGGUCGCCCACACUGGGAUUGAGAUACGGCCCAGACUCCUACGGGAGGCAGCAGUCGAGAAUAGUCUACAAUGGUCGGAAGACUGAUAGUGCGACGCCGCGUGAACGAUGAAUCCCUUCGGGUGUAAAGUUCUUUUAUAUGUGAGCAGUGCUUCUUAUAUUAAACAGUAAUGGGGAAGAGAUAUUAGCAUAUGAAUAAGCAACGGCUAAACUCCGUGCCAGCAGCCGCGGUAAA
This 505-nucleotide ribosomal RNA is filed under the name uncultured bacterium. RNAcentral's name for it is "bacterial SSU rRNA". It matches the Rfam family "Bacterial small subunit ribosomal RNA", at positions 28 to 524 of the family's 1533-position model. The record is from RNAcentral.